This 273-nucleotide ribosomal RNA is filed under the name uncultured bacterium. RNAcentral describes it as "partial 16S ribosomal RNA". It matches the Rfam family "Bacterial small subunit ribosomal RNA", at positions 524 to 796 of the family's 1533-position model. The record is from RNAcentral.
UACAGAGGGGGCAAGCGUUAUUCGGAAUUAUUGGGCGUAAAGGGCGCGUAGGCGGCUUUGCAAGUGACGGGUGAAAUCCCUCGGCUUAACCGAGGAACUGCCUGUCAGACUGUGAGGCUUGAGACCAGGAGAGGUGAGUGGAAUUCCCAGUGUAGCGGUGAAAUGCGUAGAUAUUGGGAGGAACACCAGUGGCGAAGGCGGCUCACUGGACUGGUACUGACGCUGAGGCGCGAAAGCGUGGGGAGCAAACAGGAUUAGAUACCCCCGUAGUCC